GGGCCCGUAGCUUAGCCCGGCAGAGCGCCCGGCUCAUAACCGGGAAGUCCCGGGUUCAAAUCCCGGCGGGCCCACCA
RNAcentral lists this transfer RNA (77 nucleotides) under Pyrobaculum calidifontis JCM 11548. RNAcentral's name for it is "tRNA-Ile2 (CAT) (tRNA-Ile2-CAT-1-1)". It matches the Rfam family "tRNA". From Rfam's summary of the family: Transfer RNA (tRNA) molecules are approximately 80 nucleotides in length. The record is from RNAcentral. Lineage: Archaea; Thermoproteati; Thermoproteota; Thermoprotei; Thermoproteales; Thermoproteaceae.